Molecule: ribosomal RNA, 253 nt
Filed under: uncultured bacterium
Lineage: Bacteria
Description: partial 16S ribosomal RNA
Rfam family: Bacterial small subunit ribosomal RNA
Source: RNAcentral
UACGUAGGGUGCGAGCGUUGUCCGGAUUUAUUGGGCGUAAAGGGCUCGUAGGCGGUCCAUCGCGUCGGGAGUGAAAAGCUGGGGCUCAACUCCAGUCCUGCUUCCGAUACGGGUGGACUAGAGGUAGGCAGGGGAGAACGGAAUUCCUGGUGUAGCGGUGAAAUGCGUAGAUAUCAGGAGGAACACCUGUGGCGAAAGCGGCUCACUGGACCAUAACUGACGCUGAUGCACGAAAGCUAGGGGAGCAAACAGG